RNAcentral lists this ribosomal RNA (491 nucleotides) under uncultured bacterium. RNAcentral's name for it is "partial 16S ribosomal RNA". It matches the Rfam family "Bacterial small subunit ribosomal RNA", at positions 29 to 506 of the family's 1533-position model. The record is from RNAcentral.
AGUGAACGCUGGCGGUAGGCCUAACACAUGCAAGUCGAACGGCAGCACAGUAAGAGCUUGCUCUUACGGGUGGCGAGUGGCGGACGGGUGAGGAAUACAUCGGAAUCUACUUUUUCGUGGGGGAUAACGUAGGGAAACUUACGCUAAUACCGCAUACGACCUACGGGUGAAAGCAGGGGAUCUUCGGACCUUGCGCGAUUGAAUGAGCCGAUGUCGGAUUAGCUAGUUGGCGGGGUAAAGGCCCACCAAGGCGACGAUCCGUAGCUGGUCUGAGAGGAUGAUCAGCCACACUGGACCUGAGACACGGUCCAGACUCUUACGGGAGGCAGCAGUGGGGAAUAUUGGCCAAUGGGCGCAAGCCUGAUCCAGCCAUACCGCGUGGGUGAAGAAGGCCUUCGGGUUGUAAAGCCCUUUUGUUGGGAAAGAAAAGCAGCAGGUUAAUACCCCGCUGUUCUGACGGUACCAAAAGAAUAAGCACCGGCUAACUUCGU